UACGGAGGAUGCGAGCGUUAUCCGGAUUUAUUGGGUUUAAAGGGUGCGUAGGCGGCUUUUUAAGUCAGCGGUGAAAUUUUGCAGCUUAACUGUAACAGUGCCGUUGAUACUGGGGAGCUAGGAUUUGGUUGCUGUGGAUGGAAUGUGUGGUGUAGCGGUGAAAUGCUUAGAGAUCACACAGAAUAUCGAUUGCGAAGGCAGCUCACAAAGCCAAGAUUGACGCUGAGGCACGAAAGUGUGGGGAUCAAACAGGA
RNAcentral lists this ribosomal RNA (254 nucleotides) under uncultured prokaryote. RNAcentral describes it as "partial 16S ribosomal RNA". It matches the Rfam family "Bacterial small subunit ribosomal RNA", at positions 524 to 777 of the family's 1533-position model. The record is from RNAcentral.